This 164-nucleotide ribosomal RNA is filed under the name Brachyscome curvicarpa. RNAcentral describes it as "5.8S ribosomal RNA". It matches the Rfam family "5.8S ribosomal RNA". From Rfam's summary of the family: 5.8S ribosomal RNA (5.8S rRNA) is a component of the large subunit of the eukaryotic ribosome. It is transcribed by RNA polymerase I as part of the 45S precursor that also contains 18S and 28S rRNA. Functionally, it is thought that 5.8S rRNA may be involved in ribosome translocation. Lineage: Eukaryota; Viridiplantae; Streptophyta; Magnoliopsida; Asterales; Asteraceae. The record is from RNAcentral. RNAcentral also lists the same sequence under 2 other names.
CAAACGACUCUCGGCAACGGAUAUCUCGGCUCACGCAUCGAUGAAGAACGUAGCAAAAUGCGAUACUUGGUGUGAAUUGCAGAAUCCCGUGAACCAUCGAGUUUUUGAACGCAAGUUGCGCCCGAAGCCACUCGGCCGAGGGCACGUCUGCCUGGGCGUCACGC